UCUGUAUGGACUGACAGCACAGAGACCCACAUCGGUGUGUAUGGAAUGACAGCACAGAGACACUGAUGUCAGUCUGUAUGGACUGAUAGCACAGGGACCCACAUCGGCCUGUAUGGACUGACAGCACAGAGACAGCAACGUCAGUCUGUAUGGACUGAUAGCACAGAGAUCAACAGUGGUCUGUAUGGACUGACAUAACAGCAUGAUAACACCAACAUUGGUCUGUAUGGACUGACAGCACAGAGUCCCACAUUGCUCUGUAUGGACUGACUGCACAGAGACCCACUUCGGUGUCUAUGGACUGACAGCACAGAGACACCAACGUCGGUCUGUACUGACUGACUGCACAGAGACCCACAUUGGUGUAUAUGGACUGAUAGCACAGAGACCCACAUCGGUCUGUAUGGACUGACAGCACAGAGACACCGAUGUCAGUCUGUAUGGACUGACAGCACAGAGAUCAACAGUGGUCUGUAUGGACUGACAUAACAGCAUGAUAACACCAACAUUGGUCUGUAUGGACUGACAGCACAGGGACACCAACGUUGGUCUGUACCCACUGAUAGAACACCAUAAUAACACCAACAUCAGUGUGUAUGGACUGACAGCACAGAGACCAACAUUGGUCUGUAUGGACUGAUAGCACAGAGAUCAACAUUGCUCUGUAUGGACUGACAUAACAGCAUAACACCAACAUUGGAGUGUAUGGACUGACUGCACAGGGACCCACAUCGGCCUGUAUGGACUGACAGCACAGAGACCAACAUUGCUCUGUAUGGACUGACAGCACAGAGACCCACAUCGGCCUGUAUGGACUGACUGCACAGAGACAGCAACAUCGGUUUAUAUAGACUGACUGCACAGAGACCCACAUCGGUGUGUACAGACUGAUAGCACAGAGACACCAACGUCAGUCUGUAUUGGUGUGUAUGGACUGACAGCACAGAGACCCACAUUGGUGUGUAUGGACUGACAGCACAGAGAUCAACAGUGGUCUGUAUGGACUGACAGCACAGAGACCCACUUCGGUGUGUAUGGACUGAUAGCACAGAGACACCAAUGUCAGUCUGUAUGGACUGACAGCACAGAGACCAACAUUGUUCUGUAUGGACUGACUGCACAGAGACCCACAUCGGUCUGUAUGGACUGAUGUAACAGCAUGAUAACACCAACAUUGGCCUGUAUGGACUGACAUAACAGCAUGAUAACACCAACAUUGGUCUGUAUGGACUGACAGCACAGGGACACCAACGUUGGUCUGUACCCACUGAUAGAACACCAUAAUAACACCAACAUCAGUGUGUAUGGACUGACAGCACAGAGACCAACAUUGGUCUGUAUGGACUGAUAGCACAGAGACCAACAGUGGUCUGUAUGGACUGACAUAACAGCAUAACACCAACAUUGGAGUGUAUGGACUGACUGCACAGGGACCCACUUCGGCCUGUAUGGACUGACAGCACAGAGACAGCAACGUCGGUCUGUAUGGACUGACAGCACAGAGAUCAACAGUGGUCUGUAUGGACUGACUGCACAGAGACCCACAUCGGUGUGUACAGACUGAUAGCACAGAGACACCAACGUCAGUCUGUAUUGGUGUGUAUGGACUGACAGCACAGAGACCAGCAUUGGUGUGUAUGGACUGACAUAACAGUGUGAUAACACCAAUGUCAGUCUGUACCCACUGAUAUAACAUCAUAAUAACACCAACAUCAGUGUGUAUGGACUGAUAUAACGCUGUGAUAACACCAAUGUCAGUCUGUGCCCAUUGAUAUAACACCGUGAUAACACCAACAUCAGUGUGUAUGGACUGAUAUAACGCUGUGAUAACACCAAUGUCAGUCUGUACCCACUGAUAUAACAUCAUAACACCAACAUCAGUGUGUAUGGACUGCUAUAAUGCUGUGAUAACACCAGUGUCAGUCUGUGCCCAUUGAUAUAACACCGUGAUAACACCAACAUCAGUGUGUAUGGACUGAUAUAACACCGUGAUACCACCAACGUCAGUCUGUAUGGACUGACAGCACAGAGACACCGACGUUGGUCUGUAAGGACUGACGUAACAGCAUGAAAGCACCAACAUCAGUCUGUUCUGACUGACAUAACACCACGAGGACACCAACAUCAGUCUGUUCCGACUGACACAACAGCAUGGCAGCACCAAUAUCGGCCUGUAUGGACUGCUGUAACACUGUGAUGGCCCCAAUGUCAGCCUGUUCUGACUGACAUAACACCGUGAUGACCCCAAUGUCAGCCUGUUCCGACUGACAUAACACCAUGAGGACCCCAAUGUCAGCCUGGUCCAACUGACACCCCAUGGCAGCACCAACACCAGGCUGUACUGACUGACAUAACACCAUGAGGACAGCAGCAUCAGGCUGUAUUGACUGACAUAACAGCAUGGCAGCACCAAUAUCGGCCUGUAUGGACUGUUGUAACACUGUGAUGGCCCCAAUGUCAGCCUGUACUGCCUGAUAUAACACCACGAUAACACUGACAUCAGCCUGUACUGCCUGAUAUAACACCAUAGCACUGACAUCAGCCUGUACUGCCUGAUAUAACACUGUGAUAACACUGACAUCAGCCUGUACUGCCUGAUAUAACACCGUGAUAACACUGACAUCAGCCUGUACUGCCUGAUAUAACACCGUGAUAACACUGACAUCAGCCUGUACUGCCUGAUAUAACACUGUGAUAACACUGACAUCAGCCUGUACUGCCUGAUAUAACACCAUAGCACUGACAUCAGCCUGUACUGCCUGAUAUAACACCACAAUAACACUGACAUCAGCCUGUACUGCCUGAUAUAACACUGUGAUAACACUGACAUCAGCCUGUACUGCCUGAUAUAACACCACAAUAACACUGACAUCAGCCUGUACUGCCUGAUAUAACACCAUAGCACUGACAUCAGCCUGUACUGCCUGAUAUAACACCACGAUAACACUGACAUCAGCCUGUACUGCCUGAUAUAACACCAUGAUAACACUGACAUCAGCCUGUACUGCCUGAUAUAACACUGUGAUAACACUGACAUCAGCCUGUACUGCCUGAUAUAACACC
This 3063-nucleotide long non-coding RNA is filed under the name Gallus gallus (chicken). The record is from RNAcentral. Lineage: Eukaryota; Metazoa; Chordata; Aves; Galliformes; Phasianidae.